GACGAACGCUGGCGGCGUGCUUAACACAUGCAAGUCGAACGGAAAGGCCCUGCUUUUGUGGGGUGCUCGAGUGGCGAACGGGUGAGUAACACGUGAGUAACCUGCCCUUGACUUUGGGAUAACUUCAGGAAACUGGGGCUAAUACCGGAUAGGAGCUCCUGGUGCCUGGGGGGGGGUGGAAAGUUUCGGCGGUUGGGGAUGGACUCGCGGCUUAUCAGCUUGUUGGUGGGGUAGUGGCUUACCAAGGCUUUGACGGGUAGCCGGCCUGAGAGGGUGACCGGCCACAUUGGGACUGAGAUACGGCCCAGACUCCUACGGGAGGCAGCAGUGGGGAAUAUUGCACAAUGGGCGGAAGCCUGAUGCAGCAACGCCGCGUGCGGGAUGACGGCCUUCGGGUUGUAAACCGCUUUCGCCUGUGACGAAGCGUGAGUGACGGUAAUGGGUAAAGAAGCACCGGCUAACUACGUG
RNAcentral lists this ribosomal RNA (468 nucleotides) under uncultured bacterium. RNAcentral describes it as "partial 16S ribosomal RNA". It matches the Rfam family "Bacterial small subunit ribosomal RNA", at positions 28 to 507 of the family's 1533-position model. The record is from RNAcentral.